GUCGGGAUAGCUCAGUUGGUANAGCAGAGGACUGAAAAUCCUCGUGUC
This 48-nucleotide transfer RNA is filed under the name Cryptanthus diamantinensis. RNAcentral's name for it is "partial tRNA-Phe". The record is from RNAcentral. Lineage: Eukaryota; Viridiplantae; Streptophyta; Magnoliopsida; Poales; Bromeliaceae. RNAcentral also lists the same sequence under 1 other name.